UACGUGAAACCGUUCAGGGGUAAACCUGAGAAACCCGAAAGGUCGAAGGGGGAGAUUCAUCGCGUCUCGCCUCGCCGGCACUGGGCGGUCGUGUGACGAAUGGCGUACGCGUCGUUUGCACCUUCUGCUCGCUGUGAACCGGUGGCGAACGUGUGCACUUCUCCCCUGGUAGGACGUCGCGAUCCGUUGGGUGUCGGUCUACGGCCCGUGGUGGAGCCCGUAGGCGAUGGCUUGCCAUUGUUUGCGGACCCACGGUGUUUCCCGGCCGACUCGCUCGACGGUGUACAGAUGGCGCAGGGCCGCGACUUAGUUCGCGUCUGGCCCGUGGCAAGCACGGUUAGGUGUGUUGGCGAUCGGACCUAGUGCCGGUCCCGGCCCCUGGCGGCUGUUGGCUGCGGUGUUCUCGGACAGACCUUGUUGAAACGCCAAUCUGCGACGCUAUUGCUUUGGGUACUUUCAGGACCCGUCUUGAAACACGGACCAAGGAGUCUAGCAUGUGCGCAAGUCAUUGGGACAUCACUAAACCCAAAGGCGUAAUGAAAGUAAAGGCUCGUCUUGUGCGAGCCUAGGGAAGAUGGGCGUGCCGUUCCUAAUACGGCGGCCGUCCCGCAUUCCCGGGGCGUCUCGUUCUCAUUGCGAGAAGAGGCGCACCAAGAGCGUACACGCUGGGACCACGAAAGAUGGUGAACUAUGCCUGGUCAGGACGAAGUCA
RNAcentral lists this ribosomal RNA (712 nucleotides) under Coleoptera sp. NZAC 03013526. RNAcentral describes it as "eukaryotic LSU rRNA". It matches the Rfam family "Eukaryotic large subunit ribosomal RNA", at positions 396 to 854 of the family's 3401-position model. Lineage: Eukaryota; Metazoa; Arthropoda; Insecta; Coleoptera. The record is from RNAcentral.